CCACAAAGCAAUGAAGCUUUUUCCAGAACCUCGGGAUCCCUGGAGAGAGCAUUUCCCUUGGCUUCAGCUGCAGCCCCUCUUUCUAGAUAGAGUGACCUCCAUCGCAGGGGUCCCCCAGGGGGACAGACGCCUUCGUGUCCCCUCUGCCCAAGGGCCCACGCUCAGAGCACUGCUUCCCACACUGUCCCUCUGCAGAUCAACCGAGGCAUUGACCUCAACAGAGAGUGGAUUCUAAUUUAGUCUUGGCUGGGACCCCUUUCCCGCAAAAAGAUAUCUGACCUGAUGUCUUGCUAAGUCUCUACCCUCCUCGGCUUACAUCACGGAACCUGUCUCUUUUACUUCAUGGAAUUCAAGAACACUUUCUUCCUUCUGGGUCUAGAUCUGAAGCCAGUCACGAAGGGAAGGCACUAAUUUCUCUAAUUGAAAAAUCCUCUCCUCCACAUCAUAAUGGACCCGGACAACAGGAUCAGAUCAUUUGAAAGACAAAUACUCUCCAAGUCACUGCUGCCCUGGCUGCAAGGUGAAUCCUGUUUAAAUUCAUGGUCCUGAGAUCCUCACCUUGAGCCCACAUGUUCCCUGCCGCUGGGGUUCAGCAAAUGGCAGCGCUUUCAUCAAGGAGAGUACAGCGUGCUGUGACAAUCAGGGACUCGGGACCGAGAGGCCUGUAACCGAUUGCUGUCCCGCCUCUACCUGUGUGGCUUGGGCAAGUUGCUUCACCUCCCAGGGCGUCUUUAUUUAUGAAAGAGAAUAAAUGUAUCCUGAUUAUAGUGUCGUUGCAAGGAGUAAGCAGGAGGAUGUAGCCUAAGCACUUAACACAGUGUUUGGCAAGAACUGUUCAAUAAAAUAAAGAAUUACUAUCGUUAUUAC
Molecule: long non-coding RNA, 867 nt
Organism: Symphalangus syndactylus (siamang)
Lineage: Eukaryota; Metazoa; Chordata; Mammalia; Primates; Hylobatidae
Source: RefSeq, a predicted model, not a curated record